AGCUCACGACCGGACUUGCACCGAUACUCUACUCCUUUGCAGGGAGUUGCUUUACUGUUAAGCUACAUGAGC
RNAcentral lists this transfer RNA (72 nucleotides) under Catovirus CTV1. RNAcentral's name for it is "tRNA-Cys". The record is from RNAcentral. Lineage: Varidnaviria; Bamfordvirae; Nucleocytoviricota; Megaviricetes; Imitervirales; Mimiviridae.